This 164-nucleotide ribosomal RNA is filed under the name uncultured bacterium. RNAcentral's name for it is "partial 16S ribosomal RNA". It matches the Rfam family "Bacterial small subunit ribosomal RNA", at positions 611 to 774 of the family's 1533-position model. The record is from RNAcentral.
AACCGGAGUAGUGCAUUGGAAACUGGGGGUCUUGAGUGCAGUAGAGGAGAGUGGAAGUCCAUGUGGAGCGGUGAAAUGCGUAGAUAUAUGGAAGAACACCAGUGGCGAAAGCGGCUCUCUGGUCUGUAACUGACGCUGAGGUUCGAAAGCGUGGGUAGCAAACA